GGAACAUUUUAUUUGACUAGUAGAGUCAAUCGUGGUUUUCUUGUCUGCAAAGAGAGGAGCAAGUAGAACCUAUAAUGCAGCCCUAUAGAGUGGCACCCGAGGGAUGCAGUGGUGAAACAAAUCCUCGCAAGAGCAAGCCCCUCAUCGUGCAGGACCUAAGAGAGGCUCAGCCUGGGAUGCUAGCUUCCCUUCUCAUCAACAGUCAUCUGUUUUCACAGCAGAGGUAGCGGUGCCCACAGUGCCUUCACUGAGGGUGGUUUACAUCAGCACAUCAUCUGAUGCAUCACAAAUCCCUCUGUUGAAAGGAUUUUGGUAACUCUGUGUUCCAGGCAAAAUGCUUCCAGGGCUGUGAGUGCUGGUGUCCAGCUCAGCCCCUCCGAGUGGGAGGGCAAUGCAUACAGGGCACUAGGGAGCAGGUUAAGAUCAUAUCCAUCAGCCACAGGUGUCUCCUAUUCCAGUAUAUCAGCAACCCAGGAUACCCAGACGUGGUGGUGUUCCAUGGAGCAGUGGGCCAUGUCCUGAUGCCCAUGGGCUGCAGUGAGUGGUGCUGGUGGAAGAGCAGAGCCAGCAGUCCUCUGCCCAUGAGCACAGUUGGGAGUACAGCAGUCUGAGGUCAUAAAUGCACAAAAAUGACUUGAAAUAAAAUGGUCUGCAAUUGAAUUGCACAAAACUUUGUCUUGUGCCCAUGAAAAUGUUGGGACAGGUGGCAAAGACAGGUCAGAGAUGGAUGGGUCUGAAACGUUACAUAGAUGGAAGAAAUCAGCAGUGCAGAGAGUCCCAAGAGAAAGAGAUGUCCCCCACAGAGGCAGCUGUUUCUCUACCAUGAAAGUGUUUCCAUAAAAGCUCGGGACAGCCACAUUAAGGAAGAUGGCCUGAAAGAAAACCAUGCAAAUUAUACUGAGCACACCUAAAAACACUGUCCUGGGGCAAAACAGUGAGCUCACUGCAGAAACGAGGGAGCUGCCGACAGCACGGACAAAACUGAAUUGCUUGAACUGGCUUGUGUGAUCUCCAGUGCCUGAAGCCUCUCCAAACUGGGCUGUACAUUGCUGCUGCUAUACCAGUAUCAAACUACAGUAAUAACAAGCAUCUUUAAGUGCCUUACUUGAUACCAGAUUCAUUACCCUGAGAGUCCUUCCAUAGAAAUAGCUGGGAUAUAUAAUCAGAUCUGUAUUGGUCUUCUUACAAACCGCAGCGUGAAGGACAGCUUGGCUCAGAGGAGGCUGCACUGCAUGCAAAGGAGGGAGAUUAUCCAGAAAGCUAAGUAGUUUCAGAAGCAAUUUCAUCUGUGAAGACAAGAGCAAGCACAAGCCCUCAAGGCCACCGCAGCCCCAUCACCUGUGCCCUGAAGGCACCGAGCUGCUGCACACACCUUCCUCACCACCUCUGUCCUCUCCUGUGUGCUUUGGGACCCACAACGAAAGUCUGAGUUUGGACUUGGGGCAUAAAAUACGGCACCAUAAAAUAUUAUUGUAGGGGAAGAGUGAAAAUUUACUCAUUUUUGAGCAGGAGGGCAAGGUGAUUUUCUCUCGGUCCAGUAAUUCCCUCAUUUUUAUUGCUGGUGUUACGGACCAGCUUCUCCGAGGUGCUUGGAUUUUGCUUAUAUUGCGUCCUCCUUCACAUCCGCUUUCAACAGUAAAACCCGUGUGGUUUUGAUCUCUUGCUUUCAUGCCUGCUGCCACACUCUGGAAAAUUUAAGAAGGGCGCAAGGAAUGGGUUAGUCACACUUGUUAAUAUUUAUCCCAUUGCAGAGUGAGUAGGGCUGACCUCAGAGCUUGGGCUUUGGAGAACAGUUAUGAGAACAAUUCCACCGCGCCGAAACGAAAUCUGCAUGCAAAGCUCGUUUGGUGCCUGGAAGGAGCUAGAAGGAAAUAAAGGUCUUAAACGAUAUAUUUCCGCAGUGAAUGUUUUGUCCUGUUUACAGAAUCUCACUCGAAUACUGGGGGUUUUGUUUUGUUCAUGUGUUUUUCAUAAGGAUAAAUAGCCGUGCAGUUUAAACAUUUUCAUUAGAC
Long non-coding RNA from Gallus gallus (chicken), 2012 nucleotides. NCBI's taxonomy places the organism in Eukaryota, Metazoa, Chordata, Aves, Galliformes, Phasianidae. The record is from Ensembl.